Lates calcarifer (barramundi perch) is the source of this 2170-nucleotide long non-coding RNA. RefSeq lists it as uncharacterized. NCBI's taxonomy places the organism in Eukaryota, Metazoa, Chordata, Actinopteri, Centropomidae. The record is from RefSeq and is a predicted model, not a curated record. The transcript has 3 exons.
AGACAAUGGCAGGAUGAAUUUGUGUUUUUACAAUAAAAUUCCUUAUUCCAUAAUAAGAAAGAUUAAAUUCCUGAUAUACUUUUGAUGGAAAAGCGCCAUGGUUCAAUUAACAUUUCUGUGCAGGGCAUUGAUGGAAGCCAAAUAAAAGCUGCAUUAAUACUGACUAACCACUAGAGGUAGAGCUACGUACAAGCCUAUAAGUAAUUACUUCCUGUUGCUCAGAUCAUUACAAGUGUGUGCAUCAACACAUCAGCACAAUAAACAGAAGAGGAAGGGAGUUGAAAUGGAAACUUUCACAGUGUCAUGGUUCUAAAAAUAGAAGCACAGUGACAGGAGGAGACAAAACCUUUGUCGUGCAUUGAUGAUAAAACAGAAGUUGUGAAUUUGUGGAUUGAAUAAUUGAUGUUAUUUAUACCUGCUAACAUGUAAUGUACUCAAAACUACAGGUUUUAAAUAUUUGGAGCUUUCUUGUGUGCGUGCUUAUAAAAUAACUACUGACAUCCAAAGCAGUGAAGUGUAGAGGAAAUAUAGGUACCUACCACUACAUCUGCUCACACAGUCAAAAGUCAGACUUUCAACAGGUAAGCAAUAGGCAUUAAGCAGGAAUGCCAGCUAUGUGUAAUAUGUCAUCUAUCCAGAUAUGCCACGCUGUCUGUGUUUAGCUCUGGUGUUUAUCUGGAGUCCAGGCCUGGAAGCCUACUGUGUGUCUGACUGUGUACACUGGCACUUGGGAGACAUUAUAGGCUGGUGCCACUGCUUCCACUGCGCCUCGGGGAACUCAUUAGGGCCGAUGAGUAAUAUAAGUAUUUCAAAGUGGGCCAAAAAAGCUUUUUGCCUGUAGCCACGCCAUUCGAGAACAUUUCAUGUCUGUGAUUUUGUAACCAUGGUAAUGGGCAACACUUUGGGAUUGGUCUGAAUAAAGUUAAAAAUGUUAAGAUUUUUAGAUGCUGAAAAAAAACCCCAACAACUGCUAUAUAAAAUACUAAAUGUUGCUACCUUGCACCAUCUUUUUUUACAGGUCGAGGGACUUUCUUCAGCUGGUUUGUUUGCGCUCUAUUUAAAGCCUUAAUUUACAUAGUGGCGAAGCAAAGGGUGCAACUAUUAAAACAUACGUAAAAUGAAAUCAUAAGCCAGUUCACCCACACAACAGCAUCUGUGAGCAGAUAACAGGCAGUGAACGGCUCACCACAAAAUUUGCUAAAAAAAAAUAAAUAAAAAAAGUAACUGUUGCGAGGUGGUGGCGUGCUCUUAUUUAAGACUAGCUCACAAGAGCUACAAACAAAAUUUUAAAGAAUCUGGGAGAGAAAAUAUUAUUUCUAAUUGACAUCAUGAAGUAGCAACCACAACUGCAGUUAAGUAUUUAAAUGAACUAAUUGAGCAAUUAGACAGAAAUGCUUCAACAAACCAAUCUCUGUCUUUUUCUUGUUUCUCUGUCUCUGCGGCUGCCUUUCUAUCUGAUCAUUUGCAGAUGUGAGCAACAGAGCAACAGCCCGUUACAGCAGCUCAACACUGAGAACAUUUUAUAGCCAGGGCAGCAUCUGAGAGUUGCAAAACUGAAGGAGCAGCCAAACUGGGUGCUCUGCUGUCGUCACAACAUCAGUGUCCCUGUUUAUUUUAGUCUGUAGUGGAAUUCCCUCUGACACCUAAUGCCUUAAAGAAACUUUCAUCUCCCCAGCGGUGCCACAGGAUUUUUCCUGAGCAUAAAACGAGCUUAGAGAAGCAGCAGGAGUGCCACAUCGGGGCAACAUACAGUGGGGCUUUACUGAACCUAAUGAAGGGUUGGCACGGACUGGCUAUUUGAGGCUGGCUAAGGGAACACUCAGGCUAGUCUCUUCAAUAGCACUCGAUGGGAUGCGAAGCCACUUGGAGAGAGACGUGCUGUCCUCCAGGCUGAGGUAUAUGCACACGAAACACAAGACGAACUCGGGUGUUUUUCCGGCCGACGUCCGUCUCACCCUUCCUCAGCUCGAUGUCAGCGUUCCUGAGCUUCAGGAUCCCAGCACAGUCGAUUCUAUGAUAAAGAAUUCAUAUGGGGAUCUCAAGCACUUUGGUGCCGUUAAUAAUCUUCUCAAAGCUGGUGGUCGUAACCGUCUUGCCAGUGAUGCGGUGGACUUGAUAAAAGGCAUGGGGCUUGAGGAUGCGCUCGUCUGCUGUACCGAUGAAGAUCUGC